CAAGGUCACCAGAGUAAAAUGCUUAACUGUCAUUUGGGUUUUGUCUAAUCAAUAACCAAAGCAAACAGUUUACACACAUGCAAUCAACGUACAACUGGCAGACAUUUCUCAAGCAUUUAGCAUUGGACAUCAUGCUAGCCUCUGGGGACAGAGAGUUACACAAAAUAUGACUCUUACCUUUAAAAGACCAUAGUCUUUCUGGAGGUGUGGAAACUAUGAGCAGAGAGAUAGUAAUGCCAGAGACAGCAUCAGAAUUUGUAGAACUCUGUCUUAUCUGGGUGCAGAUCUCAGUAACUGUUCCACCACUGUGCCUGCCUUCCUGCUGCCUGCCUUCCUGCUGCCUGCCUUCCUGCUGCCAUGAUGGUCAUGGACUCUGAAACUCAAUGAAUGGUACAAUCUAGAUGCAGCAAGCCACAGCUUCUUCUCAGCAAAGUGCUCAAAGGAAUUGUGCCAGUAAACUGUGACGGAUUUCUACAGAUUAAGAACCGUCUAUUAGGCUCAGAUGAAAACUAUCGUAGCUGAAAGUUCUCAUUUGGAAUCAUUCAGUCAUGCCUAUUAACCCCAGCCAUCGCUGCUCUCCUUUAAAGAGUCUAGGGAGAGGAGGUCACCUAGGAGAUUAAAAAGUGCAGAAGAGAGUCUGUCUGCCUGUCUGCCCCAAGGGAAUCUUCUGUUGCAUUUGGAUCAAGUUGUAGAGCUCUUCCAGUACCAUGUAUGCCUGCAUGCUGCCAUGCUUCCUGCCAUGAUGAUAAUGGACUGAACCUCUGA
Molecule: long non-coding RNA, 765 nt
Organism: Mus caroli (Ryukyu mouse)
Lineage: Eukaryota; Metazoa; Chordata; Mammalia; Rodentia; Muridae
Source: RefSeq, a predicted model, not a curated record